This 73-nucleotide transfer RNA is filed under the name Paeniglutamicibacter antarcticus. RNAcentral's name for it is "tRNA-Ser". It matches the Rfam family "tRNA". From Rfam's summary of the family: Transfer RNA (tRNA) molecules are approximately 80 nucleotides in length. Their secondary structure includes four short double-helical elements and three loops (D, anti-codon, and T loops). The record is from RNAcentral. Lineage: Bacteria; Bacillati; Actinomycetota; Actinomycetes; Micrococcales; Micrococcaceae.
GGGGACCUAGCUCAGUGGUAGAGCGGGGGAUAGGAGAUCCCCAAGGUCAGUGGUUCGAGUCCGCUGGUCCUCA